AUGAGGUUCGACUUCGAGUCCGAUGAGCUCGGGAAGGAGAAGACGGUCGGUACUGUGGAGGAGCGCGACCUGUUCGUCUGCUACAUGGGCCCUGAGGCGUGGCCGUCCCACCUCGAGGCCACCAAGUCCGACCGCCUCCCCCACCUCCUCGCCGCCGCCAUCAAGGCCCGCAAGCCCGAGAUGAUGAAAUCGACUGAACUCACCAUCUGUGAAGAAGAAGGCACUGAGUCAUCUCUUGGAGACGUGUUGAUCUUUCCUGAUAUGAUCCGAUACAGAGGGUUGACAUGCUCUAAUGUCAACACUUUUGUUGAAGAAGUACUCAUGAAAGAUGCUGAUUGGCAUGAUGGAUUUCUUGAGGCUAUAAGAGGUUCCUAUGUUUUUGUCUGCUGCCAUGAAAGCAAGGAUAGUAAGUGUGGUGCUUCUGGUCCUGCUUUGAUUAGAAAGUUCAAGGAAGGAAUCGAAGCUCAAGGUCUUGGACCUCAGGUUAUUGUUAGAGCUUGUUCUCACUUGGGAGGUCAUGAAUGCUUAGGGACCGUCAUCAUAUUCAGUUCAGAUGCCAAGGGAGAAGUGACUGGUCAUUGGUAUGGUUAUGUUUCUCCUGACGAUGUGAAUUUGUUGCUGAAUAAACAUAUGAGACAGAAUGAAACAGGGGAUCAUAUACGGAGGGGUCAGUUGGGUUUGUCUGAAGAGCAGCAUCUGGAAGAUUUGGAGCUUAAGCGCGUGAAAAAUGGUAUUACUGUGCUCAAGAAGGCAGGGACAGGGACAGGAGAGGAGGACAAUUUGAUGUGCAGUCUUCAGGACAUCAUGGACCUUAGUCCCGAAGUAGAGAACUUAGAAUUCGAUUCCUCAAAAAUGAAAGAGACAGAUGCCAUGUAUUUGGCUGCUUUAGCAGGGGAUGGAGUGCCGCAGCAGGUCCCUCCUUGCCCGGACGCAAUUAGCUCUGAAUCGAGGUCAGAAGUGGAGGUGCCGCUGCAGCAGGCCCCUUCCCACCAGACCGCAAUUAUUCCUCAAAAUGCAAAUAGUGAGAAUGGAGCAGCAGAAAUGAAUGGGCACAAUACAGAUGGGCUAGAAGAAGAGAAUGGAAGGAGUGCUGCUGAUAAGACCAUUCUUCAGAGGUCAGAAGUGGAGGCGCCGCUGCAGCAGGCCCCUUCCCACCAGAUCGCAAUUACUCCUGAAAAUGCAAAUAAUGAGAUUGAAGCAGCAGAAGUGAAUGGGCACAAUACAGAUGGGCUAGAAGAAGAGAAUGGAAGGAGUGAAGUUCAGCUCUCAACUCCUCUGCAGAAAAAGGCUCAGCCAAGUGAUCAAGUGGUCUGGACUGGCUCCGCCCAGUCGUUUGUAGCAAACCUCCUGAAACCCAUCCAAGUCAAGCCAGAAAGCUUUGAACCGGAAGCCCUUGAACCUCUGCCCUACCAUCAACGGGCAAUGACUGAACAUAUACAGGAUCCUAAUGCAGCUGAUCCCACUGGUCUGAGAAAUGAUAUUAUCAAGAAGAAGUUUCUUAUACCGGAAGAUUUUAAUGGUGAGGCAGUUCUUGAUCGUUCGGACGUGCACAAAGUUCGUACCGCACAAGAGUUGCGAAACAUCAUUGAAAACACUAGUGGCUGGCUAUCAGCCAGAAUUACUAAAGCAUUGCUAGUAAAUGGGAGUGUUUUUCAAAUACCAGUUCACAUGGUCAUCGAUAAAACCUAUAGAAAGAGCGGCGCUGUAUGCGUGGUGCGCGGGGAAGAACUCCCGCAUGUUCCUGUAGAAACUAGUCUGUACACUCAUAGUCUUACUGCUGUACUGGCAGAGCGGCGACCCCAAUAUUCCCACAUCUCCGACAUGGUGAUCGAGAAGCAUGACUUCAGAGGCAAUUUAUGGGCCCGUAGAAGGUACUCGCUUCAAGGUGAUAAUGAAUACCAUGUUCUGCAGUGGCUCCCAAAGGUGGUAGAAGAUACCAAGGCAAUCAAGGUGAAUCUGGAGAUGAAAACACAGCAAGCUGAGGAAGCUCCAGCAGAUGAUUUUUCAAUCAAAAAAUGCAUCGCUGUGGUGAAGACAAUAGAAGAAUUGUCAACUGAUGAGAAGUUGCAGUCCGAAGAACUGACCUUCACUUCUUGUACACAACUGUCACUCAGGGCCUUCUUCCGGUUGGAUUGCGAGCGUACUGGGGGACGGUGCUCUGGACAAGGAGCUCCUGUGUUGGAACGUGAGUGGCUAGGAUUCAAGGCCGCGUCUCCGACGGGUGGCAGCCGUCGUGACCGCGUCGUCGGGCUACUGGGCUGUGGCCCGGUGCUCCUGUUGGCGCGUCGGGGCGGGGUGGCGGCCCCCCCUUCCGGCCUUUGGUGUCUCCUCCGUCCGCGGGCCGGCUGCUGCCGGCCUUGGGUGGCCUCUGCGACGAUGCUGCAGCUGGGGGUCGCCGGAUCUGGUCGUCCUGGCUGGGUUCGGCUCGUCGGAUCUGGUCGGCGUCUUCCGACGGCGAGGUGGAUGGCUCCGGCAUGGUGGUGGCGCCGCCACGGCGCCGGGGGUGUGCGGUUCAGCGGAUAUGCGGAUCAGCUGCCGGUGGCUGGUUGCGUGGGGGUGUGGAGGCCAGUGCUCCGGGUGUUUGCCUGCGUGGCUUCUGCCGACGCCGACGACGUGGCGCCCGUGGGCGUCGUUCUUCCUUCCUGA
RNAcentral lists this ribosomal RNA (2646 nucleotides) under Triticum aestivum (bread wheat). Its description in RNAcentral is "partial small subunit ribosomal RNA". Lineage: Eukaryota; Viridiplantae; Streptophyta; Magnoliopsida; Poales; Poaceae. The record is from RNAcentral.